GACGAACGCUGGCGGCGUGCUAAACACAUGCAAGUCGAACGAAGUGGCGAACGGGUGAGUAAAGCGUAAUCAACAUGCCCUUCAGAGGGGGACAACAGUUGGAAACGACUGCUAAUCACGCAUACUGAAGGUGGGGACUGAGUCUGAUUAGCUAGUUGGAGGGGUAACGGCCCACCAAGGCGAUGAUCAGUAGCCUGUCUGAGAGGGUGGACGGCCAAAUUGGGACUGGUACACGGCCCAGACUCCUACGGGGGGCAGCAGUGGGGAAUCUUCCGCAAUGGACGAAAGUCUGACUGAGCAACGCCGCGUGAGUGAUGGCGGCCUUCGGGUUGUAAAGCUCUGUUAAUCGGGACGCGGUACCGGAAUAGAAAGCCACGGCUAACUACGUGCCAGCCGCCGCGGUAAUAC
RNAcentral lists this ribosomal RNA (408 nucleotides) under uncultured bacterium. RNAcentral describes it as "partial 16S ribosomal RNA". It matches the Rfam family "Bacterial small subunit ribosomal RNA", at positions 28 to 526 of the family's 1533-position model. The record is from RNAcentral.